RNAcentral lists this ribosomal RNA (485 nucleotides) under uncultured bacterium. RNAcentral describes it as "partial 16S ribosomal RNA". It matches the Rfam family "Bacterial small subunit ribosomal RNA", at positions 29 to 506 of the family's 1533-position model. The record is from RNAcentral.
AUUGAACGCUGGCGGCAUGCCUUACACAUGCAAGUCGAACGGCAGCACGGGUGCUUGCACCUGGUGGCGAGUGGCGAACGGGUGAGUAAUACAUCGGAACAUGUCCUGUAGUGGGGGAUAGCCCGGCGAAAGCCGGAUUAAUACCGCAUACGAUCUACGGAUGAAAGCGGGGGACCUUCGGGCCUCGCGCUAUAGGGUUGGCCGAUGGCUGAUUAGCUAGUUGGUGGGGUAAAGGCCUACCAAGGCGACGAUCAGUAGCUGGUCUGAGAGGACGACCAGCCACCCUGGGCCUGAGACACGGCCAAGACUCCUAGGGGGGGCAGCGGGGGGGAAUUUUGGAAAAUGGGGGAAAGCCUGACCCAGCAAGCCCGGGUGUGUGAAGAAGGCCUUCGGGUUGUAAAGCCCUUUUGUCCGGAAAGAAAUCCUUGGCUCUAAUACAGGGGGGGGAUGACGGUACCGGAAGAAUAAGCACCGGCUAACUCCGU